GACGAACGCUGGCGGCGUGCUUAACACAUGCAAGUCGAACGGAAAGGCCCUGCUUUUGUGGGGUGCUCGAGUGGCGAACGGGUGAGUAACACGUGAGUAACCUGCCCUUGACUUUGGGAUAACUUCAGGAAACUGGGGCUAAUACCGGAUAGGAGCUCCUGCUGCAUGGUGGGGGUUGGAAAGUUUCGGCGGUUGGGGAUGGACUCGCGGCUUAUCAGCUUGUUGGUGGGGUAGUGGCUUACCAAGGCUUUGACGGGUAGCCGGCCUGAGAGGGUGACCGGCCACAUUGGGACUGAGAUACGGACCAGACUGCUACGGGAGGCAGCAGUGGGGAAUAUUGCACAAUGGGCGGAAGCCUGAUGCAGAAACGCAGCGUGCGGGAUGACGGCCUUCGGGUUGUAAACCGAUUUCGCCUGUGACGAAGCGUGAGUGACGGUAAUGGGUAAAGAAGCACCGGCUAACUACGUG
RNAcentral lists this ribosomal RNA (468 nucleotides) under uncultured bacterium. RNAcentral's name for it is "partial 16S ribosomal RNA". It matches the Rfam family "Bacterial small subunit ribosomal RNA", at positions 28 to 507 of the family's 1533-position model. The record is from RNAcentral.